UGCCACGGCCAUGUCAUCCUGCAUCCCUAGACCGGUUACUCACUGAAGUUAAGCAGGGCUGAGCCUGGUCAGUACCUGGAUGGGAGACCACAAGGGAACACUAGGUUGCUGUUGGAA
Molecule: ribosomal RNA, 117 nt
Filed under: Danio rerio (zebrafish)
Lineage: Eukaryota; Metazoa; Chordata; Actinopteri; Cypriniformes; Danionidae
Source: RNAcentral